CCCCAUUGCAAGUCGAGCGAACAGAGAAGGAGCUUGCUCCUUUGACGUUAGCGGCGGACGGGUGAUAAGUGGGCAACCUACCUUAUAGUUUGGGAUAACUCCGGGAAACCGGGGCUAAUACCGAAUAAUCUGUUUCACCUCAUGGUGAAAUAUUGAAAGACGGUUUCGGCUGUCGCUAUAGGAUGGGCCCGCGGCGCAUUAGCUAGUUGGUGAGGUAACGGCUCACCAAGGCGACGAUGCGUAGCCGACCUGAGAGGGUGAUCGGCCACACUGGGACUGAGACACGGCCCAGACUCCUACGGGAGGCAGCAGUAGGGAAUCUUCCACAAUGGGCGAAAGCCUGAUGGAGCAACGCCGCGUGAGUGAAGAAGGAUUUCGGUUCGUAAAACUCUGUUGUAAGGGAAGAACAAGUACAGUAGUAACUGGCUGUACCUUGACGGUACCUUAUUAGAAAGCCACGGCUAACUACGUGCCAGCAGCCGCGGUAAUACGUAGGUGGCAAGCGUUGUCCGGAAUUAUUGGGCGUAAAGCGCGCGCAGGUGGUUUCUUAAGUCUGAUGUGAAAGCCCACGGCUCAACCGUGGAGGGUCAUUGGAAACUGGGAGACUUGAGUGCAGAAGAGGAUAGUGGAAUUCCAAGUGUAGCGGUGAAAUGCGUAGAGAUUUGGAGGAACACCAGUGGCGAAGGCGACUAUCUGGUCUGUAACUGACACUGAGGCGCGAAAGCGUGGGGAGCAAACAGGAUUAGAUACCCUGGUAGUCCACGCCGUAAACGAUGAGUGCUAAGUGUUAGGGGGUUUCCGCCCCUUAGUGCUGCAGCUAACGCAUUAAGCACUCCGCCUGGGGAGUACGGUCGCAAGACUGAAACUCAAAGGAAUUGACGGGGGCCCGCACAACGGUGGAGCAUGUUGGUUUAAUUCGAAGCAACGCGAAGAACCUUACCAGGUCUUGACAUCCCCGUUGACCUGUAGAGAUAUGGUUUCCCCUUCGGGGGCAACGGUGACAGUGGUGCAUGGUUGUCGUCAGCCUCUGUCGUGAGAUGUUGGGUUUAAGUUCCCGCAACGAGCGCAACCCUGAAUCUUAAGUUGCCAUCA
This 1092-nucleotide ribosomal RNA is filed under the name Ectopseudomonas mendocina. RNAcentral's name for it is "bacterial SSU rRNA". It matches the Rfam family "Bacterial small subunit ribosomal RNA", at positions 47 to 1123 of the family's 1533-position model. Lineage: Bacteria; Pseudomonadati; Pseudomonadota; Gammaproteobacteria; Pseudomonadales; Pseudomonadaceae. The record is from RNAcentral.